UGUCUAGAAAAACAAAACAAACAAACAAAAGGAACAACACAGAGAUCAACAUGGCCCCUGUGCAAGGAUGACACACAAAUUCAUGAAGUGCUCCAUAUUUUU
Non-coding RNA from Mesocricetus auratus (golden hamster), 102 nucleotides. Lineage: Eukaryota; Metazoa; Chordata; Mammalia; Rodentia; Cricetidae. The record is from Rfam.